RNAcentral lists this ribosomal RNA (484 nucleotides) under uncultured bacterium. RNAcentral describes it as "partial 16S ribosomal RNA". It matches the Rfam family "Bacterial small subunit ribosomal RNA", at positions 28 to 507 of the family's 1533-position model. The record is from RNAcentral.
GAUUAACGCUAGCGGCAGGCCUAAUACAUGCAAGUUGAACGGCAGCACAGGUAGCAAUACUGGGUGGCGAGUGGCGCACGGGUGCGUAACACGUAUGCAACCUACCCUAUACAGGCGAAUAACCUUUAGAAAUGAGGGCUAAUACGCCGUAGUAUUACAGAUGGGCAUCUAUUUGUAAUUAAAGAUUUAUCGGUAUAGGAUGGGCAUGCGUCCCAUUAGUUAGUUGGUAAGGUAACGGCUUACCAAGACGAUGAUGGGUAGGGGAUCUGAGAGGACUUACCCCCACACUGGUACUGAGACACGGACCAGACUCCUACGGGAGGCAGCAGUAAGGAAUAGUGGGCAAUGGCCGCGAGGCUGACCCAGCCAUGCCGCGUGCAGGAAGACGGCCUUAUGGGUUGUAAACUGCUUUUAUACGGGAAUAAUAGAGUGUACGCGUACAUUUAUGCAAGUAUCGUAUGAAUAAGCAUCGGCUAACUCCGUG